AUUGUUCACUCUCCCUCAAGGGCUUCCGGCAGUGCCAGACAUAUGCGUGAAUGGCGGCUGGAGGUCCUCGGGGAGAGUGGACAAU
Molecule: microRNA precursor, 85 nt
Filed under: Manihot esculenta (cassava)
Lineage: Eukaryota; Viridiplantae; Streptophyta; Magnoliopsida; Malpighiales; Euphorbiaceae
Description: precursor microRNA miR477h
Rfam family: MIR473 microRNA precursor family
Source: RNAcentral